CACAAAUGCUAAUGAACUUUGCAAUAAAUUAUAAUUACAUCUCAUAAAGCUUGUUUUAUUUGAAAGUAGUUAGGAAAUGAAUUCAGUAUGAAGAUAGUAAGUAUGCUACUAAAAUGCCUGUUAGAUUUUAAUCCUUUUGUUCAGUUAUAAUAAUGCAAUAUUGAGAAUCAAAACUUGUUUUUAAGAGGACUAUAGGUUCAACACAGCCUAAAUUUGAGAUAAUUCACAAUGUUUAAAGUCUGUCUUGACAAAGUAAUUGUAAAGUUUUGUAGGAUCCUAUUCAUACUUCUUCCUUCCUCCAUAUACCUCUCUGUUUCUCCCCACAGUUCCCAAGAGCUUCAAGAUUUUGGAGGGACAGGGAUGGAGUCAGAAGGAGAACUUGAUAGUUUCUUAGUGUCAUGGCAUACAUGGUGGUGUAGGGUAAAGUCUAAAAUAGUAAUUACAGUGUAGCAAAAAAGUAUUUUCCUAGAUGGUUUAGAUGCAAGUGCAAACACAGAUGUAGAAAGUCUUGAUUAUAUGAGUUUGGGAACUAUGAUAUUAGGAAAAGAAGUUCUCUUCCAAACUUGUUUAAAAGCCUUUUGGCUCAACUGAAGUAUUAAACAUAUUUAAAAAAUAGUUAUCCAGUAAGUUUUAGAGGAUAUUAGCCAAGGAUUUUAUGGCUAAUUGUUCCUCUGAUGUGCAGAUGCAUAUCCUAACUGGAUGUUUCUGGUUUGGCCAUUUACAUGAGAGUGGUGUGUCUGUUCUCUCCAUACAUUUAUACCUUAACUCUGCUAUACCUUUGAACAGUGAUUCGUAUUAAUUCACAGAGCUAUUUGUGGUUUGGGGACUGAAUGUCUUUAAUUGGUAGUUUCCCAAAAAAAGGCUCCCCUCUCCCACGCUCUAAUUGUUAUAUUUUACUGUUUCAUUUGGAGGUGGGUUUUACUUUAUAAAAUGAAAAUUUCAUGUUUCAUAUUGUAUCCACGUUUGUACAGAUUUCAAAAUGAUGUUAAUUUGUGUCAUUUACUAUGUUGAUAAGGCUUAAAUACACACCAGUGGAGAAGGGUUUUCUAAGCUACUCAUCCUGUUAAAGAUGAGCAUCCAGAAGUUUUUGUAGGAAGGUACAAAUGGAAGAAGAAAGAUACUGUGAAUAGGUCCUCAAACUUUACUUUAAAAAAAAAAAAAGAGGAAAAUCUUUGCCAGAUUUAAAAACAUUAUUUUGAUUCUUUCAGUAUUUUAAAUACCUUUUCAAAUAAAGUUAUUGAAAAGUACCCAGUAUUGUUGAAUUUAAUGUUUUAUGCCAUUACUGAUUCUUGAUAUUCAAGCAUUUUGAAGUUAGCAUAUUUGUUUUUCUUUUUUUUUCCAUCAUUAACAUUUCAUUUGAAAUGCAUAUCCUUUCUGAAAUAUUUUAUUUUUAGCAUAAAUGUUGUGCAUUUUAUCUUAGUGUUUGGAUUAAUCCAUUUGUGUUAUUUAGCUUUCUUUUAUUUGCUUUGUAUAUUAAUGUACCUUUUAUUUUCCAGUAUGCCUACUUUUUGUAUUGUACAAUAAAUUUAUUUUAAGCUGAUUUUAUUGGUUUUUUUUUAUAAAAGCAACUCCAGCAUUUUAAGUAUAACAAAUGGAAUUUUAACUUUAAAAGUCAUGCUUUAUGAAGAUAUAAUUAAAAUGCUUUAUAAUUUUAGUUAAUUCUGAGACUUCUGUGAAGAGAAACUAUAGAAAUACUCAAAGGCUUCAUUUGAUUCUCUUUUUUUUUUAAUGUAGUAUAGUGUUGGUGGGUUUUUUCUUACUUUCGGGGAGGAUGUUUUUCAAUUGGUUGUAUUAGAAGUAUUGAAUAAAGACUUUUUUCCUAA
Molecule: long non-coding RNA, 1823 nt
Filed under: Bos taurus (domestic cattle)
Lineage: Eukaryota; Metazoa; Chordata; Mammalia; Artiodactyla; Bovidae
Description: long non-coding RNA NONBTAT011329
Source: RNAcentral